Molecule: non-coding RNA, 313 nt
Filed under: Sporomusa malonica
Lineage: Bacteria; Bacillati; Bacillota; Negativicutes; Selenomonadales; Sporomusaceae
Description: Bacterial small subunit ribosomal RNA
Rfam family: Bacterial small subunit ribosomal RNA
Source: Rfam by way of RNAcentral
UUAUUGGAGAGUUUGAUCCUGGCUCAGGACGAACGCUGGCGGCGUGCCUAACACAUGCAAGUCGAACGGAGUAUUUAUUUAUGGUUACUUAGUGGCGAACGGGUGAGUAACGCGUAGACAACCUGCCUCUAAAAUGGGGACAACACCGCGAAAGUGGUGCUAAUACCGAAUGUGGUAUCUCGGUUGCAUGACUGAGAUAAGAAAGAUGGCCUCUGAAUAUGCUAUCGUUUAGAGAUGGGUCUGCGUCUGAUUAGCUAGUUGGUGGGGUAAAGGCCCACCAAGGCGACGAUCAGUAGCCGGUCUGAGAGGAUGA